RNAcentral lists this ribosomal RNA (147 nucleotides) under uncultured bacterium. Its description in RNAcentral is "partial 16S ribosomal RNA". It matches the Rfam family "Bacterial small subunit ribosomal RNA", at positions 338 to 482 of the family's 1533-position model. The record is from RNAcentral.
CCUACGGGAGGCAGCAGUGAGGAAUAUUGGUCAAUGGAGGCAACUCUGAACCAGCCAUGCCGCGUGCAGGAUGACUGCCCUAUGGGUUGUAAACUGCUUUUAUGUAGGAAGAAACCUCUCUACGUGUAGAGAGCUGACGGUACUACA